AUACGUAGGGGGCGAGCGUUGUCCGGAAUUACUGGGCGUAAAGGGAGCGUAGACGGUGGUGCAAGCCAGAUGUGAAGAUCCGGGGCUCAACUCCGGACCUGCAUUUGGAACUGCGCGACUGGAGUACCGGGUGGGCAGGCGGAAUUCCUGGUGUAGCGGUGAAAUGCGUAGAUAUCAGGAGGAAUACCGAAGGCGAAGGCAGUCUUCUAAGCCGAUAUUGACGCUAAACUGCGAAGGUGUGGGGAUCAAACAGGAUUAGAUACCCUGGUAGUCCACACAGUAAACGAUAAUCACUAGGUGUUGGGUUCUUAAGAGGAUUCAGUGCCGGAGCUAACGCGAUAAGUGAUUCGCCUGGGGAGUACGAUCGCAAGGUUGAAACUUAAAGGAAUUGGCGGGG
This 397-nucleotide ribosomal RNA is filed under the name uncultured bacterium. RNAcentral's name for it is "partial 16S ribosomal RNA". It matches the Rfam family "Bacterial small subunit ribosomal RNA", at positions 523 to 918 of the family's 1533-position model. The record is from RNAcentral.